UGCUCAGUGAGUUGCCUUGUAGUCUUAUUGAUCAAAAUGCAUUUAAUCCCUGAGAAAACUUAUCAAGUUAACAUUAGCCAAGUUUUAGCAUUCCGCUAACGACCAGAGGACCGCAAGGAAUAUAAAUCCUUCCUUCCUCCACCGUUCAACCAGAAUUGAAGAAGCUCCUGAGAUGAGAAGCAAAACGUCUUCAAGGAAAAAGCAAGAAAGUCCAGCUGCCUCUUGAAAAAAAGCACCUCUGGGACAGUUUUGCUGAUGGCUUCGUGGUGGAGAGGCUGACAAUUUCCCGUCUUCCCACUGAUAAUAGAUGCUGGAAGGACAAGAAUUCUGCUCCAGAUGAGGCUUCAUCUGAACCUCCAUUUUCAGUCUGUGACAACACUUUCCCACCUAUGGGGGACUGCUCAGAGCCUAUAACUUAUAUUAACGAUGCAUGUAACGGGUGGAAUGAUUGGAGUUGAGCGUUUACUGGCCAGAUGCCCUUCCUGAUGCCUUUGUGGAGUUCACAGCAGAUCUUUUCUCUUUGCAUCCCGAGAGAGAAAUAAUCUGCCACUACCAAGGGUUAAACCAUAAAUAUGAAACCAAAAACAGCCUGUAUUAUAUCACAGUCCUCAACUUACAACACUUUGUUUAAUGAAUGUUUGGAGUUACAAUGGCACUCAAAGAAGUAAUUAUGACCAUUUUUCAUACUUACGACUGUUGCAGCAUCCCCAUAGUCACAUGAUCAAAAUUCAGAUGCUUGGCAGCUGACUCAUAUUUAUGACAGUUGCAGUGUUCCAGGGUCAUGUGAUCAAUUUUUGCUUCUGACAAACAAAAUCCAUGGGGAUUAACAACCUUAACAACCUUGGCAAGAAAAGUUGUAAUACAACGCAAAAUUCAUUUGACAACUGUCUCGCUUCGUAACGUAAAUUUUGGGCUCAAUUGUGAUCAUAAGUCGAGGACUAUUUGUUAUCCUAUAAAAACGAAACCUAGAACACCCCGUGUUUUAUUAUUCUUACCAAUAUAUGGAUGAUUUCUUAUCCCUGGAUAUAUAUUUGUGUUUUCAAAGACAAAAAUGGUCAUUUUUCAGCUGUUCAACCUGAAAUUUAUCAUACUGAAAUGGUGG
This 1102-nucleotide long non-coding RNA is filed under the name Laticauda laticaudata (blue-ringed sea krait). Its description in RNAcentral is "lncRNA (ENSLLTG00000007917.1)". The record is from RNAcentral. Lineage: Eukaryota; Metazoa; Chordata; Lepidosauria; Squamata; Elapidae.